GACUUUGUGCUCACGUGAUCAGGGCUCGCCCGCUCGGUCUCCGCCCCUGGCUGUGCCGCCCCGGGCGAGUAAGUGCGGCCCGCGUCGUUUGGCUGGCGUCCUCACUACGUGCGAUGACCUCAUUUACAGUCGGUGAAACUGAGGCCAGACAGGGGGACGCCUUGUCUAGGGUCGCGCAGAGCGGCAGGCCGAGCUCUGAACCCUCUUCGGGAGGACUCGCGCUGUCCGUCACAGACUCGCUGUCCGUGGAGCCCAGGCCAGAGGGCAGCGCUUCCCGGAGCCUGUUUGCUCCUCGCGGGUUGUCUUGUUAUGGGACAUUUUCGGCACGUUUCCCGUCGAGAGCGCGGUGCUUCCAACUUCCGGCAGCGGUGGGAGCCGGGUCGGCCCCGAGGACACCCGGGUCCCCGAUAGCGGCGCGUCGCCCCCAGACCCGCUCGGGCCCCGGCGUCGGAUGCAGCAGGUCUGGAGUGGCCCCUGGAGUUUCUGAGUUUAGUAUCAGGACCGGAAAAAGCCUCUGCACUUGAUGGAAACAUAGAAAGUGGGACGUGGGGCCGUUCUGAAGAUCGAGAGGGACGGAGCAAAGCUUCCCGUGAACAGGAGCAGAGAUGGCCACGGAGGCAUGGGCUGCAGGUCCUGGGUCCCGUGCUCCCGCAGGCCCCGCCUCCACCGCUCCCCCUGCCAGAUGCACCUGUGCGCAGGGCUUUCUGCUCCAAGAGGCACGCAACAGAAACGGCAUGAGAGAGAAGGACGUUUCCCUGCACGUUGGACAGCUUCAGGCAUGGCUGGAUCCAGGAACCUAGCAGUGUCAUUUCAGACCGCUCCGUCUUUCAGCUUUUUUUUCCUCCGUGUCGCCGGGAAACUGCAUUGACAUUCACAGGACCCUUACAGGAAGGGGGUACCUCAUUCCCAAUUAUCGCAAGAAAUGUCCCAGGGCUGGUUCUUGUUGGCCUGCUGUGGAAACGGCAGUCAGCCCCUCCCACGUGAGCACACAGGCUGAAACUGGGGGAGGAGGGGACCCCAAAUGAGAACCACCGGGAUUCUGUAACCAGAGAUGCUGGACGGCAGGUCUGGCCUCCUGUGUUCCCUGUGGGUUCCUGUUAGCCCCUCAGGGGAAACCGAAGUCCUUGUCCUAUAUUAUUGGUGUGAAAUUCACGUAGCACACGACUAACCAUUUUACAGUGUACAGUUCAGUGCUACUUGGUGCAUUCACGAGGUUGUGCAACCAGCACCUCUAUCUACUCCCAGGACACUUUCAUCUCUCCUAAAAGGCACCCCGUCCCCCUUAGCAGUCACCCCCACUCCCUCUCCAGCCUCUGACCACUCACUCACUCUCCCUGUGGAUGUCCCUGUUCUGGAUGUUUCACAUUAAUGGAAUCACACACCGUGUCCAGCUUCUCUCACUGAGUGCCGUGUGUUCGGCGUCUGUCCACGCCGUGGCGAGUGUCAGCGCCUCCCCUGCUUUUCAUGGCCGAGGGACACUCCCCGUGUGGACGGACACGCUGUGCUGUGUGUGGCCCUCGUGUCGAUGGAUUCUUUUAAAAUUUCUACAACUUUACUGAGGUAUAUUUGACAUAAGAAACGUACACAUUUAAGACACCCAUCUUGGUGCUGGACAUGGGCGUGCCGGCGUCGCCAUCACUGCGUGCUGUGGGACACCUGCCGCCCUCCUGGCCCAGGCAGCCACUCUUCUGCUCUCUGCUAUUAGUAGUGUGCAGCUUCCAGAGGCUUCCACAGAAGGAAUCACGUCGUACAUCCUCGGCGCCUGGCUCUCCCAGGGAGCGUGGCCCUUCUGUCAUCCGGCUUGCGCGCCCGUCAGCGGGCUGUUCCCUCUGUUGCCGAGUGGCGUUCCGUGCAGCGCGUGGACCUGUUUACUCGCCUGUUGAAGGACUUUCAGUUAUUUCUAGGUUUUUCCAUGGGAAUGGAGCGGUUCGAGCGAGCGUGCCCAAGCUGUUUGUGACGUGUCUUCAUCCCCGCUGGGUGUCGGCCUCGGGGUGGAGCAUCGGCUCACAACGGAGUGUGUGUUUUAAUUGUCGAAGCUGCCAGACUCUUCCUUUCAACCCAGGUACAACCGACGUCGGACAGCACGCCAGUCGCAGGUGUCGUGCCGCUGUUUUCUGAAGCAGGUGCACCCGUCCGUGUUCCCACCAGCCCCAUCUGAGAGUCCUGUCGCAUCUGGACGUUUUAUCCUUUGAAAGAAGACGCACGCUAUUCGUUUCCCAUAGGGGUCCACGCUGGCUGGCUUCACACGAAAGAACCUAUACCGUCCUGGUUCUGGGCCCACGCGUCUUUGAGACCACAGUGUGGCGGGGCCGUGCUCCCUCUCGAGGCUCCGAGGGUCCCUCCCGCCUCUCCGAGCUUCUGGGCGCUCCAGCGUCCCUGGCCUGUGGCCACAUCACCCCAGCCCCUGCCUCCAUCACCAUGUGGCCUCUUCCUGUGCCUCUCUCUUCUAAGGACACCUGUCAUUGCUUCGAGGCCCACCUGGCUGGUGGAAAACGACCACACCUUCCUGAGCUUUGCAGAUGUUGUAUUUUUUACAAACUGAAGGCCAGACCUGGCACCAGCAAGGUUACGGCUUACUUUGCUGCAGUGGUCUGGGACCACACCUGCGGUGUCCCCAUGGAGCGCUGACGGUGGAUGUGGCAUCUCUUUCAGGGCUGUGGCACGGCGUGGCCUUUGAGGACAGCCACCAUGGAGUGGGGGAGUCUCCCCCUCGUAGUCUGGCUUGUGCCUUCCUUCCUUGGUCUGCGGGUGACAAGGCUGCUCUGGCGGGCCCAGCAGGUUCUCUGACCCUGGCCGGGUGGCAUCCUGGAAGCCGGGGAGGCUGCUCUGUGUCCACGGCCGGGGCCCGAGUGGACUGCCACCUUCCUACCCGUUUGUUCAUGCAUAAGCACACAGCCCGAGAUCCGGGGACAGCUGAGCACCGUCAUAAAAUGUCACAUUUACUGCUACAGUGCUGUUCAGCACAGGACAGGUCUCAGCUUUGACUUCACAAGGGGGUUGUUUAAAAAAUUCCAAGAAUCCAGCCAAUUAUGUGGAUAUUUGUAUAAAAUUCCCCUUAAAAAAGUUUUUAGGCCAGUUACCUCGAGGCACUCGGCACAGUCCCCCACUAACUGUGGCCCCCGCUGCUCGUUCCACUCUGGGCUGACCUUUACGUACUCAUGUGUGACUUAGACACUAAAUCUGAACGUUCUUGGGCCCUAUCUGGACCUAUAGGCAAGACCAAAAGCAAAGUAAGAGGGAAAGUGAGGCAGGUUCCCCAAGCGACAAGACCCAAGCAGACCAGAGGAGUCACCAGGUGGAGUCUCCUGUCAGCCAGUGACUCCUUGCUCUCCUGAGGUGUCUCAGGGGAGGACCCCAGGGGAGGACCCAGGUGACAUCAGGGGUCGGAAGGUAGCCCUGGCCCCAAGCCCAGGUGCCCCGCCUGCUUUGCCUUGGGGUUCUGCCAAGCUCCUUGCCUCAGGGAGCUCCGGCCACAGAGGGUCGGGUGGCCCCAGUGCCCUGGGAGUGAGGAUGGGGGCCGUGGGCAGAAGAUGCCCGAGAUGCUGGGGGUCGGGCAGCUGGCCUGGGAGUCCUUAAGGCCUGUAUGGGAGAACAUGCUGUAAAGGGAAACCGAGACCCCAGCAGGCAUCACCCUGCACCUGCGUGACAUGUAGGGUGACCGGCCAUCCUUCCCCUGGGAACUGCAGGGGGUUAAAGGACCCAGAUGUCUAAUCUGGGAGAGCCCCGCAUGGCCCGGGACGAGCUGGUGCCCCUCGUGACGUGUGACCAGAGUGGGCCAUGAGGCCCACCCUCCUGGCUUUGCAGCGGGGCAGGUGCACAGCCUGGGCUCAGGGCCCCUGGGACUUCUGUCUGCCCGCGCAUGCCUUUGGCCCAUCGCCCAGGGCGGCUGCUCGGUGCAGCUGGCCUCGAGCUGCAGCCCAGGGGCUUGGGUCCCCAAGUUAAAGAACCCUCGGCACUGGGUUCCAGCUGUGCGGUCCUCGUGCCUGAGGACAGCGGUCCCGACGGAACCCACACCUGGCAGAGGCUGUGGGCCCAGCUGGCCGUGGGAGGGGCGUUAACGUGGGCCCCUUGGCCUCUUCACCGGGAGGGUCAGGUCUCCCUGCAGACACCUCACCCCAGGGAGCCAGGGUGUCCCCUUCCCAGGCAAAGCCCACCCACCACUUUAUGCCAAACCAAGAAAACCGCCAAAAAGCAGAGGAACCCCUAUCCGUCCUCCCUGCGCCCCACAGCCAAGCCCGGCGGGGGGCCUCGGGUUUACGUGGGGUCUUUUCAGUACAACCUUUAACGACGUGGCUGAUCGUGAAAUGCAACGCUCAGAGCUAGAAACAGCAGCAGAAAUAGCAAGAGACAUGAAACUUUUAUACAAAAACAUUUGUUGCUUACAAAACAUAUGCAAAAAAAGCUAAAAAAAAAAAAAAAAA
Molecule: RNA transcript, 4421 nt
Organism: Pteropus alecto (black flying fox)
Lineage: Eukaryota; Metazoa; Chordata; Mammalia; Chiroptera; Pteropodidae
Exons: 2
Source: RefSeq, a predicted model, not a curated record